AUUGAACGCUGGCGGCAGGCUUAACACAUGCAAGUCGAGCGAGCGGCGGACGGGUGAGUAAUGUCUGGGAAACUGCCUGAUGGAGGGGGAUAACUACUGGAAACGGUAGCUAAUACCGCAUACCAUCAGAUGUGCCCAGAUGGGAUUAGCUAGUAGGUGGGGUGAUGGUUCACCUGGGCGACGAUCCCUAGCUGGUCUGAGAGGAUGACCAGCCACACUGGAACUGUGACACGGGCCAGACUCCUACGGGAGGCAGCGGUGGGGAAUAUUGCACAAUGGGCGCAAGCCGAGUGCAGCCAUGCCGCGUGUGUGAAGAAGGCCUUCAGGUUGUAAAGCACUUUCAGCGAGGAGGCGUUACUCGCAGAAGAAGCACCGGCUAACUCCGUGCCAGCAGCCGCGGUAAUUC
Molecule: ribosomal RNA, 406 nt
Filed under: uncultured bacterium
Lineage: Bacteria
Description: partial 16S ribosomal RNA
Rfam family: Bacterial small subunit ribosomal RNA
Source: RNAcentral